This 688-nucleotide ribosomal RNA is filed under the name Trechispora sinensis. Its description in RNAcentral is "Trechispora sp. SLL-2022j partial small subunit ribosomal RNA". It matches the Rfam family "Bacterial small subunit ribosomal RNA", at positions 420 to 937 of the family's 1533-position model. The record is from RNAcentral. Lineage: Eukaryota; Fungi; Basidiomycota; Agaricomycetes; Trechisporales; Hydnodontaceae.
GAAUCCUUACUGUGUCUAGUUGAGGAUAAAGGAUUGGAAAAUGAUGAUAAAACUUUCCUAUUAGUGUUGUCAAAGUACUGGUGCCAGAAGACUCGGUAAGGCCAGAAACGCUAACGUUAGUAGUCUUAAUCAGGCGUAAAGGGUUCGUAGACGGCUUUAUAUUUACUAUGAGUUCACUAGUUUUCAAUUAACUUUACUUUAUUUCUCUCGCUCUAGCGCUGAGGAAUAAAAAAAAGGAUAAACUAGCUAUUUACUUCGCGCUCUGCGAAAAAAUAAGAGGUAGUAGUAAAAAAAUAAAGAUAGAAUCUUAUGCGAGGUACCACAACAAAUGCUUUAAGUAAGGAUGAAAUCUAUAAAUUUAAAGUGGAAGACUCAGGGCGAAAGCUAUUUACCUAGUAAAGAUUGACGUUGAGGAACGUAGGUUAGGGCAGAAAAAAGGAUUAGAUACCCAAGUAUUCCUAUCUGUUAACGAUGAAUGGUUAGUUAUUCGGUUUUAAUCAUACAAUUAUACUCUCGUCACUAAUUCUGUUUUAUUUUAUCGUGCGUAAUGCAAAAAAGAAUGUACGAGAAAUAAAAGUAUAUUAAUCAUACUGUGAAGCGUAGCUAACGCGAUUACCAUUCCGCCUUGUGAGUACGACUGCAAAGUUGAAAACAAAAAAAUUAGUCGGUUUCGGAGCAAACGAAGUGA